AAUAGAUAAAUUUUUUAUGUUUUUUAUAAUUUAUUAUAAAUUUAUUUUACAUAUAAAUUAUAGUAUUAAAUUUUAAUUAUUUUAAUAAUAAUUAAUUAAAUUUUAUAGUAAUUAAAAUUAAAAAUUUAAGAAAUUAAGAUUUAGUAAUAUGAAAAUUAAUAACUAAUUUUGUGCCAGCAGUUGCGGUUAAACAAAGGUUAAAUUAAAUUAUUUCAGUAUUUAAUUAAUAAAAUUAAAUUAAAAAAAAUAUUAAAUUAUUAAGUGAAAUUUUAAUUUAAUUAAAUUUUAUAUGAGAUUUAUGAUUUAAUAAAUUUAAAAAUAAACUAGGAUUAGAUACCCUAUUAUUAUAAAUUUAAUUAAUAAUACUAAAAUAGUAAAUAAUAUAUUAUUGAAACUUAAAUAAUAUGGCGGUAUUUUAGUUCAUUUAGAGGAAUCUGUCUAGUAAUUGAUAAUCCACGAAUAAAUUUACUUAAUUUAUAAUUUUGUAUAUCAUUGUUAAAAAAAUAUUUUUAAAUAAAUAUAAUAUUUUAAAAUUUAAAAUAAAAAUUAAUUCAGAUCAUGAUGCAGAUUAUAAUUAAGUUUAAGAUGGAUUACAAUAAAAUUAUUUAAAUGGAAAAAAUUUUGUAAUAAUUGAUUGAAGGUGGAUUUAAAUGUAAUUUUAAUUAAUUUAUUAAAAUGAUUAAAAAUUGAAAUAUGUACAUAUUGCCCGUCACUUUCAUUUAAAAAUUGAAAUAAGUCGUAACAAAGUAGAGGUACUGGAAAGUGUUUCUAGAAUGAA
Molecule: non-coding RNA, 778 nt
Filed under: Lexias dirtea
Lineage: Eukaryota; Metazoa; Arthropoda; Insecta; Lepidoptera; Nymphalidae
Source: RNAcentral